This 327-nucleotide long non-coding RNA is filed under the name Vitis vinifera (wine grape). RNAcentral's name for it is "long non-coding RNA (VVIN_LNC003483)". Lineage: Eukaryota; Viridiplantae; Streptophyta; Magnoliopsida; Vitales; Vitaceae. The record is from RNAcentral.
CACCAAUGGGGACCCGCCUCCCCCAUCCCCAAUCGGAUUCGAAGGAUUCGAGAAACGCCUCCAGAUCACUUUUUCAGAGGCACCCAUUUUCAUUGAUCCUCGGGGACUCGGCCUCCGAGCCCUGACUCGCUCCCAACUGGACUUAAUCCUUGACGCCGCUUGUUGCACUAUUGUGAACCAUUUAUCCAAUUCGGAGCUGGACUCGUACGUUCUCUCCGAGUCCAGUCUAUUCGUUUAUCCUAAUAAGAUCAUCCUCAAGACUUGUGGGACGACAAAGUUGCUUUUGUCCAUUCCACCGAUUCUUCAACUCGCUGAGUCACUCCAGCU